RNAcentral lists this ribosomal RNA (497 nucleotides) under uncultured bacterium. Its description in RNAcentral is "partial 16S ribosomal RNA". It matches the Rfam family "Bacterial small subunit ribosomal RNA", at positions 28 to 507 of the family's 1533-position model. The record is from RNAcentral.
GACGAACGCUGGCGGCGUGCCUAAUACAUGCAAGUAGAACGCUGAAGAGAGGAGCUUGCUCUUCUUGGAUGAGUUGCGAACGGGUGAGUAACGCGUAGGUAACCUGCCUUGUAGCGGGGGAUAACUAUUGGAAACGAUAGCUAAUACCGCAUAACAAUGGAUGACACAUGUCAUUUAUUUGAAAGGGGCAAUUGCUCCACUACAAGAUGGACCUGCGUUGUAUUAGCUAGUAGGUGAGGUAAUGGCUCACCUAGGCGACGAUACAUAGCCGACCUGAGAGGUUGAUCGGCCACACUGGGACUGAGACACGGCCCAGACUCCUACGGGAGGCAGCAGUAGGGAAUCUUCGGCAAUGGGGGCAACCCUGACCGAGCAACGCCGCGUGAGUGAAGAAGGUUUUCGGAUCGUAAAGCUCUGUUGUAAGUCAAGAACGGGUGUGAGAGUGGAAAGUUCACACUGUGACGGUAGCUUACCAGAAAGGGACGGCUAACUACGUG